GAUGAACGCUGGCGGUAUGCUUAACACAUGACAGUCAAACGGAGUAGUAAUACUUAUUGGCGGACGGGUGAGUAACGCGUAAGGAUCUGCCUACUUGACGGGGACAACGAAGGGAAACUUCUGCUAGUACCCCAUGUGCCCGAAGGUGAAAUAUUUAUAGCCUGUAAAUGAUCUUGCGUCUGAUUACCUAAUUGGAAUGGUAACCGCCCGCCUCCGCGACGAUCAGUAACUGGUCUGAAAGGAUGACCUAUCUCACUGGGACUGAAACCCUGCCCACACUCCUACCGGAAGCACCGUUGGGGAAUUUUCCUCAGUGGGCGAAAGCCUGACGGAUCAAUACCGCGUGAGGGACGAAGGUCUGUGGAUUGUAAACCUCUUUUGAUAGGGACGAUAAUGACGGUACCUAUCGAAUCAGCAUCGGCUAACUCCGUGCCGAGUCUAUCCGCGGUAGAGACUGAUGAUGCAAGCGUUAUCCGGAAUUAUAUGCGCGUAAAGCGUACCCAUGUGGCUAAAUAAGUCUUUUGUCUGAGACUGGGGCUCAACCCUGGGGAGGCAGAGGAAACUAUUAACCUAGAGGAUGGUAGGGGCAGGAGGAAUUCCCGGUGUAGCGGUGAAAUGCGUACAUAUCGUGAAGAACACCACUGGCGAAAGCGUCCUGCUAAACCAUAACUGACACUCAUGUACAAAAGCUAGGGGAGCGAAUGGGAUUAGAUACCCCACUACUCCUAGCCUUAAACGAUGGAUACUAGUGUUG
Molecule: ribosomal RNA, 754 nt
Filed under: uncultured cyanobacterium
Lineage: Bacteria; Bacillati; Cyanobacteriota
Description: bacterial SSU rRNA
Rfam family: Bacterial small subunit ribosomal RNA
Source: RNAcentral